Molecule: ribosomal RNA, 322 nt
Filed under: uncultured eukaryote
Lineage: Eukaryota
Description: partial 18S ribosomal RNA
Rfam family: Eukaryotic small subunit ribosomal RNA
Source: RNAcentral
CCCUUAGAUGUUCUGGGCCGCACGCGUGCUACACUGAGUGGAUCAGCGGGUCAGGUUGCGCGAAAGCGUUUCCUAAUCUUGAAAUCCGCUCGUGAUGGGGAUUGACGGUUGCAAUUUUCUGUCAUGAACGAGGAAUACCUUGUAAGCGCGAGUCAUCAUCCCGCGCUGAAUACGUCCCUGCCCUUUGUACACACUGCCCGUCGCUCCUACCGAUUGAGUGGUCCGGUGAGGCUUUGGGAUCUGAGCGGAAAGAGCGUUUCGCUCGUUCUGCCCGGAAAACUCAGUCGAACCUUAUCAUUUAGAGGAAGGAGAAGUCGUAACA